GUCCAGGUCCCGCUCCCGGUCCCCUCGGAGGAGAGCCCACUCCCCUGAGAGACGGAGGGAAGAGAGGAGUGUGCCCACUGCCUACCGCGUGAGCCGCAGCCCUGGGGCCAGUAGGAAGCGGACCCGCUCCAGAAGUCCCCACGAGAAGAAGAAGAAGAGGCGGUCCCGGUCGCGGACCAAGUCCAAGGCCAGGUCUCAGUCGGUGUCACCCAGCAAGCAGGCAGCGCCCCGGCCCGCGGCCCCCGCGGCCCACUCGGCGCACUCAGCCAGCGUCUCCCCUGUGGAGAGUCGGGGCUCCAGCCAGGAGCGCUCCAGGGGAGUCUCUCAGGAAAAAGAAGCCCAGAUCUCUUCAGCAAUCGUUUCUUCCGUGCAGAGCAAAAUCACUCAGGAUCUCAUGGCCAAAGUCAGAGCGAUGCUUGCAGCUUCCAAAAACCUGCAAACCAGCGCUUCCUGAGACGGGGCCAGCGGAGGCAGAGCCGGGAGGCUGCGUGGGCUUCUGGGCAGGCUCACGCAGACGCCGGCCACACCAUCCACCUGGCCGCCUCCAUGGACCCUUGGUGGCUUUUGUAAAUUAAUUUUUGAUGACAUUUUGAGUUUUAAGAUUUCUGACCAGCAGUCUCUUACCUGUAUAUUUGUAAAUAUAUCAUGUUUCUGUGAAAAUGUAUUAUGAAAUAAAAUGGGAGGAAACACCUUU
This 694-nucleotide long non-coding RNA is filed under the name Homo sapiens (human). RNAcentral describes it as "HSALNT0197682". The record is from RNAcentral. Lineage: Eukaryota; Metazoa; Chordata; Mammalia; Primates; Hominidae.